GUGGGUGCACAUAUUCGCCAGGGACACAAUUUCGCCGUUUUCUGAUUUUGAGGUGUAAAAACUUCAAAGAAUGGUUUAAAUUGAAGAAAUAUGCCAGUAAAUUAUAUUUUUAUAACAAAUAUGAUUAUUUUUGAAAAUGAGACCAAAUUUCGGCACUUACCGCAAAGGAAUGCAAAAAAACGAUUUCAAAGAAGUAUCUCUUUAGUAAUUCUUUGACUGAUUGCCCUAAAUUUCGUUUUUUACACCUUUCAAAUGUCUGCUAUUCAUCUAUAAUGAAAUUUAUUUGAUAAAUAUUAUUUAAAGCUGAAGUUAUUUGGUUUUAAAUAGAUGUGUAACAACGGCGAAUAUGUGUCCCCCGUUGACAAAACAUCAGCAAAUUUCAAACACCCUUUAAUCCAACAUUUCAUAUGAUUUUUCUCAAAACAAACAAUUUUCAUAGCUAAGAGUAUUUUGCAUUUGAAAUUAUCUUCAUAUACAAAUAUCAGUAUACUUCAAAAACAUAAAGACCUGAACUUAAACUGAAGAAAACAUGGAAAGAUAUGGCGAAAAUGAGCACCCCACUCUAGUUAUAUUUUUUACUUAUGUUUUGUUUCAUAUAGUUUACAAUGUACAAAUUAUUAUAAUUUAAAACUAAUAUUUAUUUUCUAAUAAUUAGUCGGUUUUUAAAUUAAAGUUGUUGGUUAAAUUUGAUACAAUAUAAUUUUUUUUUCAUUUGCUAUUUUUUACGUCAAUACGCGGUUAGGACAUCCUAGCUAAGAUAAUCCUCAGAUAGCUUCAAUGUGCAUGCUGAGACAUGUCGUAAGUCGGUCCUAAUUUUAUUAUAAUUUCUGUCCUAGGAAUAUCUUAUAAAAUCGAUCUUAGGACAGUUUCGAUAAACAGGCCCCAGUUCUCAUAAUGUUAUUAUUUUACAAAUAUAUUGUUAUUUAAAUGAAUAAAUGUCUUUUAUUUACUAGCAUUUAUGUUUUAGGCAUUAAGCUUAAUGCCUGCACAUAUUUUUCAGGAUUUAAGCUUAAAUCCUAGGAUUUAAGACUAAUGCCUAACAUCAUUUAGGCAAUAGACUUACUGCCUAGGCGUUAGCUUAUUGCCUAGGAUUUAAGCUUAAUGCCUAAUUUCACUUAUUGCCGCUAAGGGAGCUACCAUUUGAUUUUUAUGGGGGGGCUAGGAUGAAAAAUUUUGUCCUGCAUUUUUUUUAGCUGUAAUCUCUGUCCUGCCUUUUUAUUUUUCACUCUAAUCGGUCCUGCCUUUUUUUUUUUUUAGUUUAUCCUGACUUUUUUUUUACCUAAAUUGUCGUCCUGACUUUUUUUUUUUGCAAGUGUCACAUCCUGCCUUUUUUUUUACUCAAAACUCCUGUCCUGCCUAUUUUUUUCAAAUUUCAUCCUAGCCCCUUCUACAACGAAAU
RNAcentral lists this long non-coding RNA (1399 nucleotides) under Mytilus galloprovincialis (Mediterranean mussel). Lineage: Eukaryota; Metazoa; Mollusca; Bivalvia; Mytilida; Mytilidae. The record is from RNAcentral.